UGUGUUGAAUAUAUUUUGGGUGGUGUUUCACACUUUGUUUAUAGUUUUCUUCCGUUUGUCCUACGUGUUUCGUUUUGGGACCGCUCAUCACCUCCAUCCACAUUUACUCACCGCCUCCCUCGCCCAAUCAAAUACAGUUGCUUCCACCGCCUUCUUUCUUUCAUCUGCCUUCGUCUUUUGGUCUUUUGGAGUAGAUGACACCUCCAGUUCCUUCCUACUUUACCACCGCUCAAAGGGGCAGAAGAUUCGUCAACAUCAGCCGUCAGCUUCUUGCGUAACCCAGUUAACAGACUACAUAUCGAACAUCCGGAUACUUCCCAGUUCCCACCGUCUCUCUUAUCAGCUAAUCACCAGACGUGACCUCCUAACCGCCAUCAGCGAGAUCCUAGGAACGACGAUUAUGCCGUAGUGUCACAUGUCCUCAUAACAAUUCUUCAGUCGCUGCCUCCACUGCAGGAACGACAUAUGUAAUUGCAGUGCUUUUACAGGGCAUACCGGUGGUGUCAUGCUUUCUUCUUCAAAGAUUUCUAUUCGGCAACAACAUAUUGUACAGGAAGAAGAAGAAAUCGCCAAUGCAAUCGGCAUGCGGUGGGAAUGUUUUCUAUGUAAACUGAGACGGACUACUUCCUACUGCUAUUGAAGUGAUAUCAACCCUUGGAUUAAGUAGUCAGGAACAAAUGCAAUACGCUCCAUAUGUACCCUUGGUAUAUAGGUAUGUUGUCGCUGCAACUGUGUCAUUGGAUUCAACAAUUGUUUGGGUUGCAUGAGGACAUUUUUCUCAUCAAGAAUGAUUUUGUUGUCGUGUCUGUAGUUACCCAAUAACUAAACACUAGGGAGAGAUGCAUCCCAUAAAUCAAACUUCAAAGAGUUGGCUCAUCCCAGGUGUGAAGUCUGCUUUUAGUUUGUAAGGGGAAAAUUUUCUAGCAUGUAUUUUUAUUUUUUUUAAUUUCCGUUUAAUUCCUGAUAACGUACCCAACAAUGUGGAUUGCGUUUAUUAUGUCAUUGUGGGAUGGAUGUGUUUAUUGCAGGACCAAUUAAAAAAAACUAAUGAAGCCGUUAGAGGCAAGUCUUUUUUCUUGAACCAUUAUUACCGUUUUUCAUGUAUAAGUCAUCUUUCAAUUUAUAUGAUUUCAUGUACUACUUUACCCUCUAUCACAGUUUUUGCUGGAAGGGUCUUAGAAAUAUUGAAAAUUGAAGUGCCGUUUCUGUUCUUGAAUUUGUACCUGAUCAAGAAGCUUCACAUUCAGGUUUGAUCUAUGAAACAAUGGCUUUUGGUUGUAAAAUUGAGUCUUGGUGCUGUUUAAUGAUCUGGAUAUUAACAAUUUGCAUGAAAAGAAUAAAUCAAGUUCAAAAAUCAGAAUUUGAUAAUGAAAUUGACGGUGCAUCUUGACCUUGAUGCACCAUAUCCAUCUCUAACAAGCAACAAUAAUUCAACGAAUGAAGAUGUUGAGUGAAGCUCUAAAGGUAAGAGAUGUGUUGAAUCAAAGAAAACUAAUGUUAUGAUUAAAUCAAUGGUUCCCUUUCAUUCACUACGCUCUAUUUUACGUGAGUUUGUUCCGUUAUUUCUGUUAAUUUACUUAUUUGCCUAAAUAGGAUAGUUUCGUUGGUUUCUAAUUGUUAGUUACCUUUGUUUUUGGAAAACAGAUUAAAAUGAUGUCCUUGAAGCAUUUGAAUCAGUCUGUAUCUAGAAUUUAUAAUGUGAAUGGGGGCCUGAUGAGAUUGUAGGGGCUAAUUUAUAAAUCAAUCCAUCAGUUGGUCGACGAAUAGGUGUUGCAUCAGGUUUCACUUUUUAAUGAGGUUCACACCAGAGAGAGAAGAACUUGAUCUCUACAUGAAGAACGUUAUUAAGAAGGUCAGAAAGCACGAGCGGUUAUAGUAAUAACAUACGGUAUAAAUGUGAUAAGAGAUCUAUCUGUCGUCAGUUCAGGUGUACUUUUGCUCGACUUUUCUAUACGGAGGUUGCUAUCUCAACAAUUUGCUUACGUUUACAAAAUUGUCCUUAAAGAUCUCCAACGUAUUAUAGUAGGUUUUUUUUAAUUUUUUUUAUUUUAUUAUUAUUAUUAUUAUUAUUAUUAUUAUUUGUAUUCUAUUCUAUAACAUUCAUAUAAUUGGGUAGAUUUUUCAAAAUAAAUUAGGAUGUUAUACUAAGCA
Lactuca sativa (garden lettuce) is the source of this 2151-nucleotide non-coding RNA. NCBI's taxonomy places the organism in Eukaryota, Viridiplantae, Streptophyta, Magnoliopsida, Asterales, Asteraceae. The record is from RefSeq and is a predicted model, not a curated record.